ACAACGAAGAGUUUGAUCCUGGCUCAGGAUGAACGCUAGCGACAGGCUUAACACAUGCAAGUCGAGGGGCAGCGGGGUGUAGCAAUACACCGCCGGCGACCGGCGCACGGGUGAGUAACGCGUAUGCAACUUGCCUAUCAGAGGGGGAUAACCCGGCGAAAGUCGGACUAAUACCGCAUGAAGCAGGGAUCCCGCAUGGGAAUAUUUGCUAAAGAUUCAUCGCUGAUAGAUAGGCAUGCGUUCCAUUAGGCAGUUGGCGGGGUAACGGCCCACCAAACCGACGAUGGAUAGGGGUUCUGAGAGGAAGGUCCCCCACAUUGGUACUGAGACACGGACCAAACUCCUACGGGAGGCAGCAGUGAGGAAUAUUGGUCAAUGGGCGUAAGCCUGAACCAGCCAAGUCGCGUGAGGGAUGAAGGUUCUAUGGAUCGUAAACCUCUUUUAUAAGGGAAUAAAGUGCGGGACGUGUCCCGUUUUGUAUGUACCUUAUGAAUAAGGAUCGGCUAACUCCGUGCCAGCAGCCGCGGUAAUACGGAGGAUCCGAGCGUUAUCCGGAUUUAUUGGGUUUAAAGGGUGCGUAGGCGGCCUUUUAAGUCAGCGGUGAAAGUCUGUGGCUCAACCAUAGAAUUGCCGUUGAAACUGGGGGGCUUGAGUAUGUUUGAGGCAGGCGGAAUGCGUGGUGUAGCGGUGAAAUGCAUAGAUAUCACGCAGAACCCCGAUUGCGAAGGCAGCCUGCCAAGCCAUUACUGACGCUGAUGCACGAAAGCGUGGGGAUCAAACAGGAUUAGAUACCCUGGUAGUCCACGCAGUAAACGAUGAUCACUAGCUGUUUGCGAUACACUGUAAGCGGCACAGCGAAAGCGUUAAGUGAUCCACCUGGGGAGUACGCCGGCAACGGUGAAACUCAAAGGAAUUGACGGGGGCCCGCACAAGCGGAGGAACAUGUGGUUUAAUUCGAUGAUACGCGAGGAACCUUACCCGGGUUUGAACGCAUUCGGACCGAGGUGGAAACACCUUUUCUAGCAAUAGCCGUUUGCGAGGUGCUGCAUGGUUGUCGUCAGCUCGUGCCGUGAGGUGUCGGCUUAAGUGCCAUAACGAGCGCAACCCUUGCCACUAGUUACUAACAGGUUAGGCUGAGGACUCUGGUGGGACUGCCAGCGUAAGCUGCGAGGAAGGCGGGGAUGACGUCAAAUCAGCACGGCCCUUACAUCCGGGGCGACACACGUGUUACAAUGGCGUGGACAAAGGGAGGCCACCUGGCGACAGGGAGCGAAUCCCCAAACCACGUCUCAGUUCGGAUCGGAGUCUGCAACCCGACUCCGUGAAGCUGGAUUCGCUAGUAAUCGCGCAUCAGCCAUGGCGCGGUGAAUACGUUCCCGGGCCUUGUACACACCGCCCGUCAAGCCAUGGGAGCCGGGGGUACCUGAAGUCCGUAACCGCGAGGAUCGGCCUAGGGUAAAACUGGUGACUGGGGCUAAGUCGUAACAAGGUAGCCGUACCGGAAGGUGCGGCUGGAACACCUCCUUU
Ribosomal RNA from Parabacteroides distasonis ATCC 8503, 1527 nucleotides. It matches the Rfam family "Bacterial small subunit ribosomal RNA". The record is from Rfam. NCBI's taxonomy places the organism in Bacteria, Pseudomonadati, Bacteroidota, Bacteroidia, Bacteroidales, Tannerellaceae.